GCUGUAGCGGUAGCGGCCAGAAGGCAAAAUGGCGGUGUGCGGCGCUCGUGCAGAAAGCGCGGCCGUGUUUCAUUUUCACAUUCCGUGGAUGACGACAGCGCAAGUAAGGAUGCACUUAUUAGGCGACUGCUCGAAGCAGUUCGCAACCAUCCAUGCGUACUUCAUGCGAAACGCAUGGACUGCCACGACACGGAGCGGAACAACGCAUACGAAAGCAGCGCUAUAGGAAAGCAGCGUGGUCUCGCCACAGAACCGUGUCGAGCGUGCAUGCUUCACAAGUGGCGACCAUGCCAGGACAACACGGAGGAGGAGCUGUUGCGCAGAGUGUGCGACACUGACAGCGUGUCUCCGUUGCCGUGCGAGGACAGCUUCGACCAGGAAGAACAAGCAGGCCAAGCGGGGCAGUACUGCGUUGAGCAGGCUCCCCCCCCUACAGGUUGACGGACGCACUUCUGUUGCUAAGAAAAAAAAAACGCGAAACAAUGAUGAUUUCGAUUAGCAGCUUCUGAGCCACCUCAAGAAAGUAAAAUGUCAGAAAAUGAGGCAUUUUACCUUUCUGUUGGUUUGACACUGGACAGGCUCGCCAGGCAAGUACCAGCUAAGUGCAAAGCACGGUUGAUGGAGGUAAUUGCCGAGUCUGAUAUAUAAGCACUUGACAAAAAUACGCAGCAGCUGCCUUCGUUUAUCCCGUUCACUCCUGUCAGAAAAGAUGACAGCAGUAUGCUGUUGCUAUUUUGUUAUAGAAUGAGUCUGCAGAAGCACUGUACCCAAAUGGUGCCACUGUGCCAAUGUUUUUAUAAAGCAGCGCAAGAGGGCUGUUGUUUACCAAGGGCUUAGUUGCAGUUUGUACCGGAAAUUCAGCAACUGCAUUUUCAUUUGCCUUGGCAAUUCAUUCCAACAUCUCAAUUUUUUAGAGUGGCAUAAUUGAUCACUUUCACAUUUUUUUAUUAAGCAGGUCUUCAUUUUUUUUAUUAAGCAGGUCUCCCUAGUGCCUUCAUUCCACUUAUAUAUAUAUGUAUGCGUUUUCUUUGAGGGCAGCCUGAAUGAGAUUGCAUUUACUUUCUUGUCCUUUGAGACUUAGGUGAAACUGCGCUUGCAGUCUCUGUUCAUGUACUGUGCAUGUUGAGUUAAAGAGGGAGAGUUCCUUUGUAAACUCACAUGUGCCAGUAGCCAAAUAUAAUCCACAUUGCUCUUACAUUUUGGUUGCAACAUUGUGUUGCAUUUCAAUGGAAUACAUUUGUCUGGCUUUGAAGUGUGAUAGCCAUGGUAGGCAGGUCAUUUUAUA
Molecule: long non-coding RNA, 1285 nt
Organism: Dermacentor albipictus
Lineage: Eukaryota; Metazoa; Arthropoda; Arachnida; Ixodida; Ixodidae
Source: RefSeq, a predicted model, not a curated record